GCCUCUGUGGCUCAACCUGGUAGAGCGGCGCUUUCGUAAAGCGCAAGUUAAGGGUUCAAAUCCCUUCAGAGGCU
RNAcentral lists this transfer RNA (74 nucleotides) under Candidatus Woesearchaeota archaeon. RNAcentral's name for it is "tRNA-Thr". It matches the Rfam family "tRNA". From Rfam's summary of the family: Transfer RNA (tRNA) molecules are approximately 80 nucleotides in length. Their secondary structure includes four short double-helical elements and three loops (D, anti-codon, and T loops). Lineage: Archaea; Nanobdellati; Candidatus Woesearchaeota. The record is from RNAcentral.